This is a long non-coding RNA of Rattus norvegicus (Norway rat), 702 nucleotides long. Ensembl lists it as uncharacterized. The record is from Ensembl. Lineage: Eukaryota; Metazoa; Chordata; Mammalia; Rodentia; Muridae.
CAAUAUUUUUGCUCAUUCUGAGUGGCCACGUGAUCAGUCAGACAGUUAUGUAUCACAGUGUGAUCAUACGUACUCUAUAAAUACCAUCUGACUAGAGGCUGGGGAGAGCACAGUCAGUAAAGAGCUUUCUGAACAAGCAUGAGAGCCUGGAUUCUAGCUCCUGCAAGCAUGUUUAGGGAUGGCUCAUGGGUUAAGAGCAUUGGCUGAUUUCGGAAGAACCCUGGUAAGAUUCCCAGCACCCACAAGAUGGCUAACAAACAUCUGUAACUCCAAUUCCCAGGCAUUCACUGCCCUCUUCUGGCCUCCACAGACACUGCACUUGUGGCACACAGGAGCAGGGUUAUUUACUGGAGCAGAUGACUCAAAGGCAGGAACGUCUUCAAAAAGUUCACCCCAGCAUAAAUGAGGACUCAUGCAAUCUCUAUACUGGAGCUCUACAUGACUUAGAGGCAGCUGGACACUCCGGAGACUCUCCUCUCACCAGCUGGGAUGCUGAGAGUGACGAUGAACAGUCUGCUUUAGAACUGCUGCUUGCGGGCUGGAGAGAUGGCUCAGUGGUUAAGAGCACUGACUGCUCUUCCCGAGGUCCUGAGUUCAAAUCCCAGCAACCACAUGGUGGCUCACAACCAUCUGUAGUGGGAUCCAGUGCCCUCUUCUGAUGUGUCUGAAGACAGCGACAGUGUAUUCAUACAUAAAAUAAAU